This 460-nucleotide ribosomal RNA is filed under the name uncultured bacterium. RNAcentral's name for it is "partial 16S ribosomal RNA". It matches the Rfam family "Bacterial small subunit ribosomal RNA", at positions 338 to 795 of the family's 1533-position model. The record is from RNAcentral.
CCUACGGGUGGCAGCAGUGAGGAAUAUUGGUCAAUGGGCGCGCGCCUGAACCAGCCAAGUAGCGUGAAGGAUGACUGCCCUACGGGUUGUAAACUUCUUUUAUAAAGGACUAAAGUGAGGCACGUGUGCCUUUUUGUAUGUACUUUAUGAAUAAGGAUCGGCUAAAUCAGUGCCAGCAGCCCCGGUAAUACGGAGGAUCCGAGCGUUAGCCGGUUUUAUUGGGUUUAAAGGGAGCGUAGAUGGGUUGUUAAGUCCGGUGGGAAUGUUUGCUGCUCAACCGUAAAAUUGCAAUUGAUACUGGCAGCCUUGAGUACAGUUGAGGUAGGCGGAAUUCGUGGGGUAGCGGGGAAAUGCUUAGAUAGCACGAAGAACUCCGAUUGCGAAGGCAGCUUACUAAACUGCCACUGACAUUGAUGCUCGAAAGUGUGGGUAUCAAACAGGAUUAGAUACCCGGGUAGUC